UGACUCUGGUUUCUCUUCAUUACGCACAAGCCUUUCGCCUUUUACUAAAGACUUCCAUGGAGAGGAACACUUAUGAGUUCAAUGUAUUUUGUGAGUGGCUUUGCUUCUUGCAGAGCCC
Small nuclear RNA from Oncorhynchus kisutch (coho salmon), 118 nucleotides. Its record names the gene U5. It matches the Rfam family "U5 spliceosomal RNA". From Rfam's summary of the family: U5 RNA is a component of both types of known spliceosome. The precise function of this molecule is unknown, though it is known that the 5' loop is required for splice site selection and p220 binding, and that both the 3' stem-loop and the Sm site are important for Sm protein binding and cap methylation. The record is from Ensembl. Lineage: Eukaryota; Metazoa; Chordata; Actinopteri; Salmoniformes; Salmonidae.